Non-coding RNA from Parelaphostrongylus tenuis, 71 nucleotides. Lineage: Eukaryota; Metazoa; Nematoda; Chromadorea; Rhabditida; Metastrongylidae. The record is from the annotation of a GenBank genome assembly.
GCCUCGGUGGUGCAGUGCUAACACACGUUCCCGGUAUGGGUGAAACGCGGGUUCAACUCCCAACUGAGGCU